UGUCUCAAGACUAAGCCAUGCAUGUCUAAGUAUAAACGCUUCUAUACUGUGAAACUGCGAAUGGCUCAUUAAAUCAGUUAUAGUUUAUUUGAUGGUUUCUUACUACUUGGAUAACCGUGGUAAUUCUAGAGCUAAUACAUGCACAAAGUCCCGACUCUUCGGAAGGGAUGUAUUUAUUAGAUCCAAAACCAAUGCGAGUCUCUCGGGGCUCGGUUYCUUGGUGAUUCAUGAUAACUGCUCGAACCGUAUGGCCCUUGCGCCGACGGUGCUUCAUUCAAAUUUCUGCCCUAUCAACUUUCGAUGGUACGGUAGUGGCCUACCAUGGUUGCAACGGGUGACGGAGAAUUAGGGUUCGAUUCCGGAGAGGGAGCCUGAGAAACGGCUACCACAUCCAAGGAAGGCAGCAGGCGCGCAAAUUACCCAAUCCCGACUCGGGGAGGUAGUGACAAUAAAUAACAAUGCCGGGCUAUUGUAGUCUGGCAAUUGGAAUGAGUACAAUCUAAAUCCCUUAACGAGGAACAAUUGGAGGGCAAGUCUGGUGCCAGCAGCCGCGGUAAUUCCAGCUCCAAUAGCGUAUAUUAAAGUUGUUGCAGUUAAAAAGCUCGUAGUUGGAUUUCGGGGUGGCCUGCCUGGUCCACCGCAAGGUGAGUACUGGUCAGCCGCCCUUCCUCUCGAAAGCCCCGACUGCUCUUCACUGCAGUGGUCGGGUAGUUCGGGACGUUUACUUUGAAAAAAUUAGAGUGUUCAAGGCAGGCUAUCGCCUGAAUACAUUAGCAUGGAAUAAUGGAAGAGGACCUCGGUCCUAUUUUGUUGGUUUCUAGGGCCGAAGUAAUGAUUAAGAGGGACAGUUGGGGGCAUUCGUAUUUAAUUGUCAGAGGUGAAAUUCUUGGAUUUAUGAAAGACGAACUAGUGCGAAAGCAUUUGCCAAGGAUGUUUUCAUUAAUCAAGAACGAAAGUUAGGG
Molecule: ribosomal RNA, 962 nt
Filed under: Halichondria sp. FSK061811
Lineage: Eukaryota; Metazoa; Porifera; Demospongiae; Suberitida; Halichondriidae
Description: SSU rRNA
Source: RNAcentral